This is a long non-coding RNA of Neofelis nebulosa (Clouded leopard), 1242 nucleotides long. RefSeq lists it as uncharacterized. NCBI's taxonomy places the organism in Eukaryota, Metazoa, Chordata, Mammalia, Carnivora, Felidae. The transcript has 3 exons. The record is from RefSeq and is a predicted model, not a curated record.
CCGCCGCCUGGGUCACGCACCUGAGCGGUGCCGGCGGCACCGGCAGAGACAGCUGGGCACGGCCUGCAGGGGGCGCCCGAAGACUAGCGAAUAGGGCACCCGCGGCGGCCGGGAGGUUCAGCUCCCCGGCUGUGCCCGCACACUUGGAAUCUGAGCGGGAACGAGGAACGGUUGGAAGUUUAUUUGGGGGAGCGAGAGAGGAGCGUGGAAGUCAGGAAGCUAGAAUCGGGGAGGGGCAGCAAGACCUUUUUGGAUUUUUAGCCAGGACUAAGAGGGUGAAGGAAUUUAUCGCGAUGGAGGCGCGGGGGGUGCAGUCCCCGCCUCCGUCCGUGUAAGGAGAGGCUGCUCUCCCAACGGACCUAGCUGCGCAGGGAGCUAGAAGCUUGCCUUCUCGGACGGGGCGCCCGACUCCCCUCUAAAAUAGGGUGUCUGCUCCUCUCAUUUCCACGGAACCCCCUGCUGCCUGUGGGGCAAAGGGAAUCCUUAGGAGACGGGCAGGAGGACCCAGUCAUUCUCUGGUUUCACAAAUAUUUAUGGAAAACCAACCACUUUCCAGGUUCCGUUUUAGGCACUUUACGGAAUCACUUGCCAACGCCAGCAGGAGGCCUGCCUUAAUGAAGCCUGUCUCCUAUCGCGGGAGCUUACGGUGACAACGGCCCUGAUAAAUGACCAAAGAUUGGAAACUUCUAGAAGGAAUGACCGUUGGACUGUUAAUGAGAAGCAAAGCUUGGAUUGACCUUUUUAGUUUUCUCUCUAGGGCCCCUGCUGAUCUGACCCCCAUGAGAGCCCAGAUAAGCAGUGGAGGCUGCCCAGUCCUGCUGUUCCCAAGGUGCCAGAGCAGGUCUGGGACACAGGGACAGCCUUCUCCCCAGGCUCCCAGCCCGGCUCAGGGGACAAGUGUCCUGCCUGAAGCAGCCCCCUCCUGUCUCCUUCUUGGACCUCAGCUCCUACAAGCAACGUGCACCAUUUUAUUUUCCACUGAAACAAGCUUUUAAGUUAAGGCAAGUUCAUCCCCCUAAAUGUAACCCUUUCACACCUCUAUUUUCUCCCCUGUUAAAAAUACUAAACAAAAUGUCAUUUAAAUCUCAGAGACAAUUCUAGAUGGACCUAGCCAAACAGCAGCUGAGCAAGAUCUCUUGGCCCAACAUCCUAUUUCUGCAGAGGCAGCAGGUGCACCAGCUCUAUGCUUGUAUAAGAUGUUGUAAAAGAAAGACAUAAUGUAACGCUUUCCCUGACCCUGGC